Molecule: ribosomal RNA, 841 nt
Filed under: uncultured Gammaproteobacteria bacterium
Lineage: Bacteria; Pseudomonadati; Pseudomonadota; Gammaproteobacteria
Description: bacterial SSU rRNA
Rfam family: Bacterial small subunit ribosomal RNA
Source: RNAcentral
ACGCUGGCGGCAGCCUCAUACAUGCAAGUCGAGCGAGAACGUUACUUCGGUAGCUAGUAAAGCGGCGGACGGGUGAGUAACGCGUAGGAAUCUACCUUUCAGCGGGGGAUAGCUCGGGGAAACCCGAAUUAAUACCGCAUACACCCUAAGGGGGAAAGAGGGCCUAUCCUUGGAAGCUCUCGCUGUUAGAUGAGCCUGCGUGAGAUUAGUUUGUUGGUGGGGUAAUGGCCUACCAAGACUACGAUCUCUAGCUGGUCUGAGAGGACGAUCAGCCACACUGGGACUGAGACACGGCCCAGACUCCUACGGGAGGCAGCAGUAGGGAAUAUUGGACAAUGGGGGCAACCCUGAUCCAGCUAUGCCGCGUGUGUGAAGAAGGCUCUAGGGUUGUAAAGCACUUUAGGUAAGGACGAAAAGAAUAUAGUUAAUACCUAUAUUCCGUGACUUAACUUACAGAAUAAGGACCGGCUAACUCCGUGCCAGCAGCCGCGGUAAUACGGAGGGUCCAAGCGUUAAUCGGAAUUACUGGGCGUAAAGCGCGCGUAGGCGGUUUGUCAAGUUGGAUGUGAAAUCCCUGGGCUCAACCUAGGAACUGCAUUCAAAACUUAUAGACUAGAGUACGAUAGAGGAGAGUAGAAUUCCUGGUGUAGCGGUGAAAUGCGUAGAUAUCAGGAGGAAUACCAAUGGCGAAGGCAACUCUCUGGAUCGACACUGACGCUGAGGUGCGAAAGCGUGGGUAGCAAACAGGAUUAGAUACCCUGGUAGUCCACGCCGUAAACGAUGAGAACUAGCCGUUGGAUCUUAGAUUCAGUGGUACAGCUAACGCAUUAAGUUCUCCGCC